CGGACGGGUGAGUAAUGUCUGGGAAACUGCCCGAUGGAGGGGGAUAACUACUGGAAACGGUAGCUAAUACCGCAUAACGUCGCAAGACCAAAGCGGGGGACCUCCGGGCCUCUUGCCAUCGGAUGUGCCCAGAUGGGAUUAGCUAGUAGGUGGGGUAACGGCUCACCUAGGCGACGAUCCCUAGCUGGUCUGAGAGGAUGACCAGCCACACUGGAACUGAGACACGGUCCAG
RNAcentral lists this ribosomal RNA (232 nucleotides) under uncultured bacterium. Its description in RNAcentral is "partial 16S ribosomal RNA". It matches the Rfam family "Bacterial small subunit ribosomal RNA", at positions 99 to 334 of the family's 1533-position model. The record is from RNAcentral.